UGGGGAAUCUUGCACAAUGGGGAAACCCUGAUGCAGCGACGCCGCGUGAGCGAUGAAGGUUUUCGAAUCGUAAAGCUCUGUCCUAUGGGAAGAUAAUGACGGUACCAUAGGAGGAAGCCCCGGCUAACUACGUGCCAGCAGCCGCGGUAAUACGUAGGGGGCGAGCGUUGUCCGGAAUUACUGGGCGUAAAGGGUUCGCAGGCGGCAUGACAAGUCCGAUGUAAAAGGCGAAAGCUCAACUUUCGUAAGCAUCGGAAACUGUCAAGCUUGAGUGAAGGAGGGGCAAGUGGAAUUCCUAGUGUAGCGGUGGAAUGCGUAGAUAUUAGGAGGAAUACCGGUGGCGAAGGCGACUUGCUGGACUUCAACUGACGCUGAGGAACGAAAGCGUGGGUAGCAAACAGG
Molecule: ribosomal RNA, 402 nt
Filed under: bacterium
Lineage: Bacteria
Description: partial 16S ribosomal RNA
Rfam family: Bacterial small subunit ribosomal RNA
Source: RNAcentral